Echinops telfairi (small Madagascar hedgehog) is the source of this 134-nucleotide small nucleolar RNA. The record is from Ensembl. Lineage: Eukaryota; Metazoa; Chordata; Mammalia; Afrosoricida; Tenrecidae.
GUCCAUGUAUCUUUGGGACCCGUCAGCUGUGGCAGCCUCUUUUCCUAACCAUGGAAGAGUAUCUAUGUGCAUGUUUACUGGCAAAGCAGUCUCCUUUAAUUGGUAUCAGAUGCAGAUGGGCACAAGUAACAUUC